This is a long non-coding RNA of Plodia interpunctella (Indianmeal moth), 6385 nucleotides long. RefSeq lists it as uncharacterized. Lineage: Eukaryota; Metazoa; Arthropoda; Insecta; Lepidoptera; Pyralidae. The record is from RefSeq and is a predicted model, not a curated record. The transcript is spliced from 2 exons.
AAUAUUGGUCCACCCGUUUCAACAAGGCGAUCUUACAGCUCUAGUUAUUAUCACUGUCUUUUUUGUAUCAGACACGAGAAAUUGCAGGUGCAGACCGUAGUCUCGUCUUUUGCGCCCUGGGUACCAGUGGUGGUUGGCGACGCGCUCUCUACACUGCCUCUUUGCACCUAAUCACGCCUCAUCACGAGCUCCGCAAAGGCCUGCGUCGCUGUCCGUCCACGACGUCUAACUGUCGAUCAUGUGACACACGGUUGGCAGCGAAACAUUGACCCCGCUAUCGCGCACAAGUCAGCGCGGUCCUCCGCUCAGACUGGGUUGUCCUCGAGAGUUUGCUGGGCGUCCUCUUCUCAACAUGCGUCGCAGUGGUGGCAGAUGAAUAACGGCUCACCAUCACCACCCGCUAUGCGACACAGAUAAGCAACCCCCGAAGCAAUCAUGUCCGGAGUCUCUGGGUUAAAUUAAAUUGGAAAUUAAGUGUCUCCACUCGCCAUACAAACAGGAUGCGAUGGUACUGUCUUUUAGCUUCUAGGUAUACUACCGGCCGGCACGUACGCUGUUUCACAGACACUGCUCUGGAGGAUCUGAUGGCCAUCAUCCUUUGCGGAAGUCACAGAAGGGCUUUUUUUUGGUUGCUCAGGGUCUCUGACCAAACGGGGGCACCAUACAGGGCCAUUAAUCGCACGACCCCCAUGUGCGCCUGCAGAAUGCCUUCGGGCCAUUUAGAUUAGACAAAAUUGCGGCAUUGUUAUGCCGUGUCGUUGCAGCAUUGAUAUACCGAUAUUAAUGCCGCAAUGUGGGCAUGGAAGAAGCCCAGAUACCGCAUGGUCGGCUUGAUCGCAAUCUGAACUCCGCCAUCUGUAACCUGGAGAACUAUGAUGGUAAACCAGCUAAACUAUAGGAAAUAUAGAAAUGAUGACGAAACAAAAAUUGUUCAGUCUGAUGAGCAUUUUCUCUUGAGAUAUAAAAAUCGAAGAUUUGGAAUACCUGAUGGCAGACCCAUGAUGGUUCAGCUAAACUGUAUGAAAUUUGGAAAUGACGCCUUAACAAAAGUUGUUCAGCCUGAUGAGAAUUUUCUGUUGAGAUAUAGAAAUAAAAGAUCUGGAACGUCUGAUGUAGACCCAUGAUGGUCCAGCUGAACUAUAGGAAAUACAUAAAAAACGCCCUAACAAAAGUUGUUCAGCCUGAUAAGCAUUUUCUGUUGAGAUAUAGAAAUCAAAGAUCUGGAACAUCUGAUGUAGACCCAUGAUGGUCCAGCUGAUCUAUAGGAAAUAAAGAAAUGACGACUAAACAAAAAUUGUUCAGUCUGAUGAGCAUUUUCUGUUGAGGUAUAAAUAUCGAAGAUUUGGAACACCUGAUGCAGACCCAUGAUAAACUAUAUAUUGUUCAGGUAAACUAUAGAAAUUGUGAAUAUCUAGCCCUUGUAAGUUAGAAGAUACUUUGCCUCCUAUUUAUCUCAUCGUCUAUUUAUAUCUGCGUUUUGAGAAACUGUUUGAUACAGGGUGUAGAAGAAACAAUGGAAAUGUAAAGUAGACGUGGCAUGCGUGUUAAAAUUAAGCAGAGCACCUCAUACCGUGUUACUUAGUCGUACCGAGUUAAUUAGAUCGUCUUACGCCGUUCUUUUUUAAAUUAGUUUCACCACCUUAUUGUUUCAUGUAACACUGCAAGAAUGAUGUGUAACCUGGUCCGCUAUAGUGUGGAACCGGCAUGUAUAUAGCACAAUUUCGUGCUAAAUUCGAUUUCUUUUGUCUCUUUAACAGAAACAGUUAAUUACUAAAUCUAAACCACAUUCGUGCCUUCUACAUACCAGAUAGUUAAACUAACAGUUAUCUGCUUCGCGUACAGUCAACAACACAGCCACAUCUGAACCUAAAAAUAACACGAAUAUAGUUUUAUUUUACAAUCAUAAUGAAUGUCACUGUCUUAUUACUAUCGAUACCUAGCGUGGAGCAGCUGAACUUUCAAGACAAACAGGCUGUUCGAGCUUAUGCUCGUUCGAGCCAUGCCCCAUUGCUUCGUUCCGCUCGAACACGUUGACGUCCGUCGAAGGACCAACGCAAAACGACGUAGAGAUUUUGACGUACGUCACCGCAGGUUAGUGUCAAAACUUAUAGCUGUUGACUUUAUACUUUGUAUACUACCUACAGCAAAGUAAACUGUUUUGUAUACAUAGAGUAUUUUAAUUUUGCAGUUUACUUGUAGUGCACAUAUUUAAUUGGAGAAUUUAUUAUUUGGUAUGCUAUGUUAAAAUUUGGUAAGCAAAAAUAAGUUAGCCUUGUGAUUUGGUAGGUAACAUGCGGCAACCAUUGUUCUGCAUACAAUCAUAAUAUUGGUCAGCAAUAUAAAUAUAAGCAGAUCAAUAGAUCAGAUCAAAAUAAUUAUUUGGGCAGCAAGAUUCAUCAGCAACUUCAUUGGGUUCGGCUAGGUUUUCACCAACCCCAUUGGGUUGCCGUGAGAGCAGGAGGUGCAAGGCGGCGUAGCUCUCCUGCAAGAGGGGGUUAGGGGUAGCACCCCGCAAUAAAAAACCAAGGAUAACAAAUAUAGGCUGUGUCGGUUAGGUAAAGUUAAGCUUAUGAACACACAAACUGUGUAAUUAGGUAGCUCACAUGACCGUGCAGUUAACCGUUGAGGAGUUCUUUUGUUAGGGGUUUGCCCGGAGUGUGAGUGUCAAACCAAUUUAAUUUAAUAUUUGCUGGCCAUAUUUUGCUGGUUGGACAAUUAGUUAUUUUAGCUAAACUAAUAUUUUUUUGCUCGCUAAAAUACGAAUACUUUGCUGACCGUUUACAUACCAUCCUAUUUGUGUUAUGUCACGCACAUGACAACUACCGCGAAUGCGUUACUCACAACUCCCUUUUAUGCCUCUUGUGCACCGGCCAAGAUUCACUGCCAUAUAAAAGGGAUGAUGGAUUCGUAGAAGUAUCCUUUCAGCCUGUCUGGCAAUGGGAUCGCAAUCGCAAAUGACACCAGUUAGCUCCCGCCACUUUGCACACGCUGCAGCUAUGCGACCCUUGAUCUCGUCAUCGAUUCGAUAUCACCGGACGCACAAAGUCUUUCUUCUUUGUCUUCUCCUAUGCCUACGGGCGGAGACAUUUCGGGCCACGUUCUAUGUCUUGGCCACGUUUAGUUUCAGACCGCUGUUUUCAAGCGACUCAUUUGUGCAUUUCCCUUUAUCUGCAUUCGAUAGCACACAUGGGCAACCAUGGCAGCUGCUCGUUAAAUCAUUGCAGUAAACUGUUGAAGAGUUCUCACGUCUGGAGCCCUUCUUGGGUGCACUAUCAGGUCACACUUGUCAUAACAAUGCAUUAUCAUCCAAAAUAAACGAUAGUACAAAAUUUGACCUCAAUGAGUUGAAGGUUUAUCUGCUUCAUCAAUUUUGAUGAAAGAUAUGUAGCGGGAGCGAGGUAAUUAUGCUCGACCGCCACAAAGGGAAAAUCUUUCCGCAAGGCUAGGUGUUGCGCCUGGAGAACCGCACGGCUUCGGCGGUGUCAUGUCGGAAGUUGUGUGAAUUUUAUUUAUUCCGAGUCUCUUUGCUAGUCUGCUGAAUAGAUUGGACUCGAACUGGCGACCUUGAUCAGUUGUUAUUGUAACUGGACAUCCGAAACGCGAUAUUGAUCCGGUCACCAAUGCAUUACAUACAUUUUCGGCAGUCAUUUGCGUUAUUGGGUAUGCUUUUGGCCAUUUUGUACUCCUGUCUGUAUUUGAAUUCUUGAAUGGUAGUGGCUCCACAAUAUCAAUGUGAACUGAACAUGCUCAAAUCUCUCUGAUUUGAGCAUGUUCUGAAACGAGCGUAAGGGUGCCUGUGUAUUUUGGCUUGCUGACACGGGAUACAUGAUCUAGUCCGUAUGAUGUUGUCACAUCUUUGUUUAUGGAUGGCCAAAAAAAUCUGUCUGUCAUCAUUUUCCUUGUGGCUCGCGUUCCUGGGUGGCUGAAUCCGUGAACUGCGUUGAAAGCUGUUUGACGGUGCUGAGAUGGUAAAUAGGGUCUCGGUUCUUUGUUGGUGGUUUCGCAUAAUAUCUCUUGCUCCGAUCCAGGGAAUUGAUAUCGCUUAAAUAAAAAAAAAUCCGGUUUCCAUGAUUUUCUUAAUUUCUUCGUCAUCAUCCUAGUCUUACUACCUAAUCGUAGUCGAUAUAGCUCGGGAAAGAUUAAUAUGUCGGGAUCGUCUUAAUUCUUGAGAGAGCGUCGGGAACACAGUUUUCUGAGCCAGAUAUGUGCCUGAUUUCCGUACAAAAUUGUGAGAUGAAAUCAAGAUGACGUAAGCGGCGUGUUGUAUCGUUCGAGCUUGAUUUGCUCAUUGCGAAUGUCAACGGCUUAUGGUCAGUGUAAACUAUUAAUUCUUUGCCUUCGAUUUGUAUAUUGCUAACAGUUCCCUAUCGUAGGUACUGUAUUUUUGCUGUGCCGCACUCAGACUUUUGUAAAUAAAUCCGAGGGGCUCCCAUGUGCCUUCAUUGUUUUCUUGUAAUACGCCGCCGGUGCAUGUCACGGAACAGUCCGUCAUAAAGGCGAGCGAUGUCGUCAGAGAUGGAUAAUGGAGGGUAACAGCGCGUUUGAUGCUUUCAUUACAUUAUUAUUUUCUGACUUUUCCGUCCAUGGAAUUUUCCUUAUAUCGUUUUUCUUUGAAUCGUGAAGAAAAUAGCUCACGUUGAUACUCGGCUGCUUGCGGGAGACAGGAUCGGUAGAAAUUAAUUAUUCCAAGGAAUCGUAUUCACGAAUUGAAUUGUAUUUAAAUAACAAUAUUUACAUACAUAGUUGUUAAAUAAAAGCUUGUUAAAAAAAGUCGGUAGAAAAGCGAUAUUUUCUGAUAUUUUGUUGCAUGAGUAAGAUGUAAUUUAGAAAACCGGUCAAGUGCAAGUUGAACUCGUGCGAAGAGGAUUGUGUAAAAUUUAUAGAAUUCUUGUAUAAUUUUAUGUAUGACAGAAUAUUUUAAAAUAAAACUAACAUAAUGACAGCGUGCAAAUUUAAAACCACUAUCGUCAUCUACGCGUUUUAAAAAAUAUAAACAACACGUGUAAAUUUAGUGUCACUAGCGAGAAAAAUGAAUAGAUGACUCUAUUCAUUUUUCUCGUAUUAAUAAUAUUUUUUAUCUAAUCUAAUCUAAGUAAUCUUUUUUCAUGAAUAACAUCGAAACUAUUUAUUUACAAUAAUAACAAAACUAUAUUUGAUAGAUUCUCUUAAUAUCCCUUUUAUUUACUAUAUGACACAAGGUUUGCAAACCUUUUUUUCUUCUUUUUAUUUUAAUUUACCCCCUUUCGUACUAAAAUCAUCAUCCUCAAUCAUUUCGUAUUAAAAUCGAAAAUCAACCUUUCGUACUAAAAAUUGUUGGCGUUAAAAUACUAGAAAUAAUUAUUGAACAGAAAAAAAAAAUUCAAACGCCAUCCAGUAUGUAAUGGCAAAAUAUCACGACUGAACUGUCAUCUAGCCUCCGGUAUACCGUACUAAAUAUAAUGUAAAGCGACAUCUGGCAAGUAGUAGCGUAACUAUUAUGCCAACUCCACACUAUCGUUGAACGUCGACGCGAAUGCUUGGCGACUAGUGUAGCCGAUGCGAAUGCGUGACAAUUGCGAUUUGAGUGAUAUUAUUUACAACCAAAAACCAGAAAUGUAUACUGAAUCCACCAGUUUAGCACUGUUCGACGCACAGAUAUAAGAAUGUAAUGUUCUUAUAACUGUGGUUCGACGACAGUGAGAAGCUGGCAUUAUGUAGUGCUUUUAUUUACUACUGCAAUGAAAAACCAGCAAUUUAUGGAUAGUGUGGAACCGUCGACAUCCGUUCUGUAAGUAAAUCUCACAGACCAUUUAGGCUAUGGUCUGUAGUAAACCUCAAUGCUGUAAACUAGCCUGUCAACAAAGUGAAGAAAAUGGAUUUUUGAGGAAAUACCAUGGAUUUAGUAAGUACUUCGUGCAGGGUACCUACUAAUUCCAUGCGAAAUACAUUGUUUUGCCAUUGCAAUACCAAAAAUUUAUUGGUCAAAUUGGUUGAUAAACAGGAGACAGAAGGCUCUUUUAAUUUUACUUCAAGAAAGUAAAACUGUAGACUGUAAUUACGGCUAUCCACGGAAAUAGUUUAAAUCGCGUUAGAAAUCACCACUGAAAUAAAAAUAAGUUGGGAGAUUCCUUAAUAUUUAUUUUUGUCAAGUUCAAUAACAAGGAUAUUUUAUAAUUAUAUUGGUAUUCAUUAAGUAGGUAAUUUCUACUAAAAAUCACGAUUGUGUGAAUAAUAAAAACAAGCACAUUCAUCAAUUACAUUAGUCAAAUUAAUAUCCUAUGUCAAUAAUAAAUCAAAAAUAUUACAUAAAAUGCAUUUCAUAACUGAAACAAUGUUAAAUAUAACAAAUUGCAUUACUUUAUGAAUCUAUGCAAUCACAAAGAUUACUAAAUCUGGGGAUAAUUAA